CGUUAGCGACAGAAGAAGCACCGGCUAACUCCGUGCCAGCAGCCGCGGUAAUACGGAGGGUGCGAGCGUUAAUCGGAAUUACUGGGCGUAAAGCGCAUGCAGGUGGUUUGUUAAGUCAGAUGUGAAAGCCCGGGGCUCAACCUCGGAAUAGCAUUUGAAACUGGCAGACUAGAGUACUGUAGAGGGGGGUAGAAUUUCAGGUGUAGCGGUGAAAUGCGUAGAGAUCUGAAGGAAUACCGGUGGCGAAGGCGGCCCCCUGGACAGAUACUGACACUCAGAUGCGAAAGCGUGGGGAGCAAACAGGAUUAGAUACCCUGGUAGUCCACGCCGUAAACGAUGUCUACUUGGAGGUUGUGGCCUUGAGCCGUGGCUUUCGGAGCUAACGCGUUAAGUAGACCGCCUGGGGAGUACGGUCGCAAGAUUAAAACUCAAAUGAAUUGACGGGGGCCCGCACAAGCGGUGGAGCAUGUGGUUUAAUUCGAUGCAACGCGAAGAACCUUACCUACUCUUGACAUCCAGAGAACUUUCCAGAGAUGGAUUGGUGCCUUCGGGAACUCUGAGACAGGUGCUGC
RNAcentral lists this ribosomal RNA (572 nucleotides) under Vibrio sp. Its description in RNAcentral is "bacterial SSU rRNA". It matches the Rfam family "Bacterial small subunit ribosomal RNA", at positions 473 to 1044 of the family's 1533-position model. Lineage: Bacteria; Pseudomonadati; Pseudomonadota; Gammaproteobacteria; Vibrionales; Vibrionaceae. The record is from RNAcentral.